ACCUUCACUUUGAAACGGAACGGAUUAAGCAUCUGCCAUUUCAGCUCACUGUUAGCCUGUAUGUCUCCUGAGGUCGAGUCUCUGUGCUGGAUGCAACGCUUAUGUACAAGAACUGAAGCAAAUGGGUAGGAUACGAACAGCAUUUCGGUCUUGUAGCAGGGAACGUUAAACGCGGAGGACAGUGAAGAGGAGAGACCGAGGAACUGGUCUAAAGAUUCUUGCCUGCUUCCCAAGGUUUGUGUGGCAUGGUCUCUUUAUCCAUCAUGUGAGAACCUUCUAAAGCACAGUCUUACGUACCCCUCCAAGCCGCAUGCAUAUGAUUGUGAUAGAAUCUAUCUAAAUACCCUCUUGCUACCUCAUUCUCUUUGGUCAUCUGCGCCUGAUAUAUAGGACUGUGGAAGUAGCAACGGCCAUUUGCCUGCCUGGAUGUAUAUAGAUGACAAACUAGUGAUACUCCAGAGAAGGGGACAUUGGAGGGGGAAUGGCAGGGCUUGCCAAGAGGCUCCUGGCCAUUCUUCUAUGCCUGUUGCUGUUAGCUCAUCAGCAGAAGGCAUACGGCUUGAAAGGCAUUCAUCUUUUCUUCAGAAGACAAGGGAACAAGCCGCGGAUGCUUGCUGAAAGGGCAGUUGCCAGCCUCCACAGCAAGGGAUACCCAGCCAAGAGAACUUCAUCGGUUGAUCCAAACAGGAUGAGUGAGAGAAGAGUCCGGAGGGGGUCUGAUCCCAUACACAACAGAUGUUGAUGCUUCGGCAGAUACCAGAUAGUGGAUCCGAUUUGUGCCACUGAUGAAGGGACACCAGCAAUACAUCAAAUCGGGUUGUAGCACUUGAUGUGAAUAUCCCAAAGGUGUCUUUUUUUUUUUCAUUUUCAUGUUGUCUUCUAUUUUUUUGUUUCGACUUUGUUCUACAGUUUCAUUGUGGAUCAUUUAUGUCCUUAAUCCGCAGUAGAUAUAGUUGUAAACAAGCUUCUUCUAAAAUGAUGUUUAGGUUCUGUAUUAAUCAAGCAGUCGUUUUGUACAAUGCGCCAAUAUAUUUGGACAUCUGUUUGAAGUUUGACUCAGUUUUUUUUUUGCGGGUAGAAGUUUGACUCAGUUUCCAACAAGGAAUUGAGGGGUAUUAAGGUUGCUUUGUGACCGUCCCUUGUAAAUUAUCUUAUGGCUUUGUGUUUUUUUUUUGUUUGGCCCUAGGGAUA
This is a long non-coding RNA of Panicum virgatum (switchgrass), 1191 nucleotides long. RefSeq lists it as uncharacterized. The transcript is spliced from 2 exons. Lineage: Eukaryota; Viridiplantae; Streptophyta; Magnoliopsida; Poales; Poaceae. The record is from RefSeq and is a predicted model, not a curated record.